GUGUCAGCCGCCGCGGUAAUACGAAGGGGGCUAGCGUUGUUCGGAAUUACUGGGCGUAAAGCGUAUGCAGGCGGAUCGUUAAGUCGGGGGUGAAAUCCCGAGGCUCAACCUCGGAACUGCCUUCGAUACUGACGAUCUUGAGUCCGGGAGAGGUGAGUGGAACUCCGAGUGUAGAGGUGAAAUUCGUAGAUAUUCGGAAGAACACCAGUGGCGAAGGCGGCUCACUGGCCCGGCACUGACGCUGAGAUACGAAAGCGUGGGGAGCAAACAGGAUUAGAUACCCUGGUAGUCCACGCCGUAAACGAUGGAUGCUAGCCGUCGGAGAGCAUGCUCUUCGGUGGCGCAGCUAACGCAAUAAGCAUCCCGCCUGGGGAGUACGAUCGCAAGAUUAAA
This 393-nucleotide ribosomal RNA is filed under the name uncultured bacterium. Its description in RNAcentral is "bacterial SSU rRNA". It matches the Rfam family "Bacterial small subunit ribosomal RNA", at positions 505 to 898 of the family's 1533-position model. The record is from RNAcentral.